AUUGAACGCUGGCGGCAUGCCUUACACAUGCAAGUCGAACGGCAGCGGGGACUUCGGUCCGCCGGCGAGUGGCGAACGGGUGAGUAAUGUAUCGGAACGUACCAUUGAGUGGGGGAUAACGUAGCGAAAGUUACGCUAAUACCGCAUAUUCUCUCCGGAGGAAAGCAGGGGACCGCAAGGCCUUGCGCUCUUUGAGCGGCCGAUAUCAGAUUAGCUAGUUGGUGAGGUAAAAGCUCACCAAGGCGACGAUCUGUAGCGGGUCUGAGAGGAUGAUCCGCCACACUGGAACUGAGACACGGUCCAGACUCCUACGGGAGGCAGCAGGGGGGAAUUUUGGACAAUGGGGGCAACCCUGAUCCAGCCAUGCCGCGUGAGUGAAGAAGGCCUUCGGGUUGUAAAGCUCUUUCGGCCGGGAAAAAAUCGCAUGGGUUAAUACCCUGUGUGGAUGAUGGUACCGGAAUAAGAAGCACCGGCUAACUACGUGCCAGCCGCCGCGGUAA
RNAcentral lists this ribosomal RNA (500 nucleotides) under uncultured bacterium. RNAcentral describes it as "partial 16S ribosomal RNA". It matches the Rfam family "Bacterial small subunit ribosomal RNA", at positions 30 to 523 of the family's 1533-position model. The record is from RNAcentral.